This 562-nucleotide ribosomal RNA is filed under the name Aspergillus oryzae. RNAcentral describes it as "eukaryotic LSU rRNA". The stretch from base 189 to 342 matches the Rfam family "5.8S ribosomal RNA". The record is from RNAcentral. Lineage: Eukaryota; Fungi; Ascomycota; Eurotiomycetes; Eurotiales; Aspergillaceae.
UUGGCUUUCGAGUGUAGGGUUCUAGCGAGCCCAACCUCCCACCCGUGUUUACUGUACCUUAGUUGCUUCGGCGGGCCCGCCAUUCAUGGCCGCCGGGGGCUCUCAGCCCCGGGCCCGCGCCCGCCGGAGACACCACGAACUCUGUCUGAUCUAGUGAAGUCUGAGUUGAUUGUAUCGCAAUCAGUUAAAACUUUCAACAAUGGAUCUCUUGGUUCCGGCAUCGAUGAAGAACGCAGCGAAAUGCGAUAACUAGUGUGAAUUGCAGAAUUCCGUGAAUCAUCGAGUCUUUGAACGCACAUUGCGCCCCCUGGUAUUCCGGGGGGCAUGCCUGUCCGAGCGUCAUUGCUGCCCAUCAAGCACGGCUUGUGUGUUGGGUCGUCGUCCCCUCUCCGGGGGGGACGGGCCCCAAAGGCAGCGGCGGCACCGCGUCCGAUCCUCGAGCGUAUGGGGCUUUGUCACCCGCUCUGUAGGCCCGGCCGGCGCUUGCCGAACGCAAAUCAAUCUUUUUCCAGGUUGACCUCGGAUCAGGUAGGGAUACCCGCUGAACUUAAGCAUAUCAAAG